This 491-nucleotide ribosomal RNA is filed under the name uncultured bacterium. RNAcentral's name for it is "partial 16S ribosomal RNA". It matches the Rfam family "Bacterial small subunit ribosomal RNA", at positions 29 to 506 of the family's 1533-position model. The record is from RNAcentral.
AGUGAACGCUGGCGGUAGGCCUAACACAUGCAAGUCGAACGGCAGCACAGUAAGAGCUUGCUCUUACGGGUGGCGAGUGGCGGACGGGUGAGGAAUACAUCGGAAUCUACUUUUUCGUGGGGGAUAACGUAGGGAAACUUACGCUAAUACCGCAUACGACCUACGGGUGAAAGCAGGAGAUCUUCGGACCUUGCGCGAUUGAAUGAGCCGAUGUCGGAUUAGCUAGUUGGCGGGGUAAAGGCCCACCAAGGCGACGAUCCGUAGCUGGUCUGAGGGGAUGAUCAGCCACACUGGAACUGAGACACGGUCCAGACUCCUACGGGAGGCAGCAGUGGGGAAUAUUGGACAAUGGGCGCAAGCCUGAUCCAGCCAUACCGCGUGGGUGAAGAAGGCCUUCGGGUUGUAAAGCCCUUUUGUUGGGAAAGAAAAGCAGCAGGUUAAUACCCCGCUGUUCUGACGGUACCCAAAGAAUAAGCACCGGCUAACUUCGU